UAAUAAAAUGCUCCGCAGGGUGCAGCUUGAUACGACCGCAGAGGUCGAACCCUGAACAGUUGGGGGAAGUAUGGACACAACAUUCAAGCUUGAUACAGCUUUGGAUUUGGAUUGUGAUUAAAUAUUUGACACAGCAUAGGUUUCUGACACAGAAUGAAUGUGGUCUAAGAACUUAAAAAUUUUAAAUUGGACAUUCACCUAUUAUGGUCCAAUAUCCAAAAUCUAAAUACAUGGUUAGAUUCAGCUUAUCAAAGAACCCCAAGAAUUCAAUUUUUGAUGAAAUCAAAUAAAGUUUAAUUUUGGACCCUUUUGACCUCAAUGUGGACAAAGUUGAUAACGGGCCCAAAAAUCAAAAAUCUAAAUACAUGAUUAGAUUCAGCAUAUCAAAGAACCCCAUAUAUUCAAUUUUUGUUGAAAUCAAACAAAGUUUAAUUUUGGACCCCGAUUUGGACCAACUUGAAAACUGGGCCCAUAAUCAAAAAUCUAAAUACAUGUUUAGAUUCAGCAUAUCAAAGAACCCUAAGAAUUCAAUUUUUGUUAAAAUCAAACUUAGUUUAAUUUUGGACCCUUUGGACCUUAAUGUAGACCAAUUUGAAAAAAUAACCAAAAAUUAAGAAUCUAAAUACACGGUUAGAUUCGGCAUAUCAAAGAACCCCAAUAAUUCAAUUUUUGAUGAAAUCAAACAAAGUUUUAUUUUGGACCCUUUGGACCUCAAUGUGGACCAAUUUAAAAACGGGGCACAAAAUCCAAAAACUUAAUACACUGUUAGAUUCAGCAUAUUAAAGAACCCCAAGAAUUCAAGAAUAAAACCCCAUUGAAAUUGGUCAAGAAAUAAGCAAUUUAUACGAAGUAUCUUCUUUUGCACAAUACUGUGCAAUUGAAUAUUUCUUGCUAUUGCGCAAUAAUGCACAAUUGACAAUUUCUUGCUAUUGCGCAAUAUUGUGCAAUUGAAGAUUUCUUGCUAUUGCGCAAUACUGUGCAAUUGAAGAUUUCUUGCUAUUGUGCAAUACUGUGCAAUUGAAAAUUUCUUGCUAUUGCACAAUACUUAUUAUAUAAUAAUUUACACAUCCUGUUUGGUGUGUAUCUCCUACCAUAUCAUUAUUAUUUGUUUUUAAAUAUAAAUCAGAAAUAACCAACUUAA
Molecule: long non-coding RNA, 1141 nt
Organism: Mytilus californianus (California mussel)
Lineage: Eukaryota; Metazoa; Mollusca; Bivalvia; Mytilida; Mytilidae
Exons: 2
Source: RefSeq, a predicted model, not a curated record